RNAcentral lists this ribosomal RNA (207 nucleotides) under uncultured bacterium. RNAcentral's name for it is "partial 16S ribosomal RNA". It matches the Rfam family "Bacterial small subunit ribosomal RNA", at positions 524 to 726 of the family's 1533-position model. The record is from RNAcentral.
UACGUAGGGGCGCAAGCGUUGUCCGGAAUUAUUGGGCGUAAAGAGCUCGUAGGCGGUUUGUCGCGUCUGCUGUGAAAACCUAAGGCUCAACCUUGGGCUUGCAGUGGGUACGGGCAGACUAGAGUGCGGGUAGGGGUGACUGGAAUUCCUGGGUGAUAGCGGUGGAAUGCGCAGAUAUCAGGAGGAACACCGAUGGCGAAGGCAGGU